Molecule: ribosomal RNA, 508 nt
Filed under: Isonychia sp. BYU IGCEP017
Lineage: Eukaryota; Metazoa; Arthropoda; Insecta; Ephemeroptera; Isonychiidae
Description: partial 16S ribosomal RNA
Rfam family: Bacterial large subunit ribosomal RNA
Source: RNAcentral
CGCCUCUUGUUAUAAUACGAGGUCUGACCUGCCCACUGAUGAUUGAAGGGCCGCGGUAUUUUGACCGUGCAAAGGUAGCAUAAUCAUUAGUCUUUUAAUUAAAGGCUGGAAUGAAUGGUUGGACGAGGUACAAGCUGUCUCAUUUGGAACAUUAUUGAAUUUAACUUUUCAGUGAAAAGGCUGAAAUGUGAUUGGAGGACGAGAAGACCCUAUAGAUCUUAAUAGUGUAUAAAUAUAGUCAAGUUAGAUAGAACUGGACUAGAUUUAAAAGGUAUUCUGUUGGGGUGACAGGAAAAUAAAAGUAACUUUUCUUUUUAGAGAACACGGAUGAGUGAUUAAAUGAUCCAUUUAUUGUGAUUAGAAGACUAAGUUACCUUAGGGAUAACAGCGUAAUCUUUUUCGAGAGUUCUAAUCGACAAAAAGGGUUGCGACCUCGAUGUUGGAUUAAGGAUUAUUUUGGGUGCAGAAGUUCAAAGUUUAGGUCUGUUCGACCUUUAAAUCCUUACAU